Transfer RNA from Ovis aries (sheep), 72 nucleotides. It matches the Rfam family "tRNA". Rfam says of the family: Transfer RNA (tRNA) molecules are approximately 80 nucleotides in length. Their secondary structure includes four short double-helical elements and three loops (D, anti-codon, and T loops). Further hydrogen bonds mediate the characteristic L-shaped molecular structure. tRNAs have two regions of fundamental functional importance: the anti-codon, which is responsible for specific mRNA codon recognition, and the 3' end, to which the tRNAs corresponding amino acid is attached (by aminoacyl-tRNA synthetases). tRNAs cope with the degeneracy of the genetic code in two manners: having more than one tRNA (with a specific anti-codon) for a particular amino acid; and 'wobble' base-pairing, i.e. permitting non-standard base-pairing at the 3rd anti-codon position. The record is from Rfam. NCBI's taxonomy places the organism in Eukaryota, Metazoa, Chordata, Mammalia, Artiodactyla, Bovidae.
UCUCUGGUGGCUAAGACAGUAAAGAAUUUGCCUGCAAUGCAAGAGACCAGGGUUCAAUCCCUUGGUUGGGAA